CGAUUGUGCAACAAACGACUCCUAGUAGCAAAAUUUCGAACUGCAUGAAAAUUUUUAUUCCUCGAACGUCGUCUGCUCGAAAUUGAACGUGAUGCCGUUACGUGAAAAAUCGCCGGUAUAGUCUAUCUAUUAUACGGCUCUGAGUGAAACUGUAUCAAUACUCUUUGUGAUGUACUUGAACGUUAGAAAAAGCUGUAGGCUACAUUACGCUAAAAUAUCUCUUGCCACCUGUACUUGUUAUAGUGUCGUACAGCUUUUUCAUCCCUUGCAGACAACACUUAAAGUAAAGAUUGUACACAAUUCAUUAGUUCAAAAAACAAUGGUUCCAAUAGCACCCUUCAGAUUUUCAGUUUCCAGCCACAUCAGUGAUAAGGGACUUUUGUGGAAACUCAAAUGAAAAACUCUGGUAACAGAUAAUUAAUGUUGCUGAAAAUUCAAUAUGGGUUUAAUUAUUCUACAACAUUUUGGUUCACAAACUGAAGAAUACAAAAAAAAAAUGGGAGGUGAACUAGCAACUUGCUGAGGACUCCAUCCGCACAGUAUUCUCCAAGCGUAGAUGACGGGAUUCAUGGCCGAGUUGAUCCAUCCGAGCCAAUUGACAAUCGUGCCGACUAAUUCUGGGUCGUGAAUACAAGACUGGCAAAAAGCGGACAGCAAUGUUGUGACGAAGAACGGUGACCAACAAACGACGAAGACUCCCAUCACGAUACCCACGGUCCUAUCAGUUUGCGGAUCAGAUUGAGUUUAGCGAUUGGGAAGUAACGUCCGGAUUCGCUGUCGCUAGCGACAACUGCCGAUGAAGUUACAGACAACACAGUUUUUGGUGCGGAUAUCUCCGCCUCUGGUGAGGAAUGGCGGCGACCAAUCGUUCGUUUGAUGCUGGACGAUGGAUCGGGUGUUUGUAAAACAUCAUCGCGGUCAAAAUGGCCGCGACGGCAGCACAUCUACGAAUUUCCGACGCGGCUCUGCCUCCGCGAUGGAUGCGCAACAUUAAUGAAGUUACGACCCGCUUGGUGCCAAGGCGAAGGGAUCGUGACUGGGCCACAGCUGCCCGGUAGAUUCGGUAAUAAGUGAAGAC
RNAcentral lists this long non-coding RNA (1078 nucleotides) under Daphnia pulicaria. Its description in RNAcentral is "uncharacterized LOC124350878, transcript variant X1". Lineage: Eukaryota; Metazoa; Arthropoda; Branchiopoda; Diplostraca; Daphniidae. The record is from RNAcentral.